Molecule: ribosomal RNA, 1036 nt
Filed under: uncultured bacterium
Lineage: Bacteria
Description: bacterial SSU rRNA
Rfam family: Bacterial small subunit ribosomal RNA
Source: RNAcentral
AGGACGAACGCUGGCGGCGUGCUUAACACAUGCAAGUCGAACGGUAAGGCCCCUUCGGGGGUACACGAGUGGCGAACGGGUGAGUAACACGUGAGCAACCUGCCCUUGACUCUGGAAUAACAGUUGGAAACAGCUGCUAAUACCGGAUAUGACACAUUCACUCAUGUGGGUGUGUGGAAAGUUUUUCGGUCAAGGAUGGGCUCGCGGCCUAUCAGCUAGUUGGUGAGGUAAUGGCUCACCAAGGCUUCGACGGGUAGCCGGCCUGAGAGGGCGACCGGCCACACUGGGACUGAGAUACGGCCCAGACUCCUACGGGAGGCAGCAGUGGGGAAUAUUGCACAAUGGGCGGAAGCCUGAUGCAGCAACGCCGCGUGCGGGAUGACGGCCUUCGGGUUGUAAACCGCUUUCAGUUCCGACGAAGCGAAAGUGACGGUAGGAACAGAAGAAGGACCGGCCAACUACGUGCCAGCAGCCGCGGUGAUACGUAGGGUCCGAGCGUUGUCCGGAAUUAUUGGGCGUAAAGGGCUUGUAGGCGGUCUGUCGCGUCGGAAGUGAAAACUCAGGGCUUAACUCUGAGCGUGCUUUUGAUACGGGCAGACUAGAGGGAUGCAGGGGAGAACGGAAUUCCUGGUGGAGCGGUGGAAUGCGCAGAUAUCAGGAGGAACACCGGUGGCGAAGGCGGUUCUCUGGGCAUUACCUGACGCUGAGAAGCGAAAGCGUGGGGAGCAAACAGGCUUAGAUACCCUGGUAGUCCACGCCGUAAACGGUGGGCACUAGGUGUGGGGGACAUUCCACGUUCUCCGUGCCGAAGCUAACGCAUUAAGUGCCCCGCCUGGGGAGUACGGCCGCAAGGCUAAAACUCAAAGGAAUUGACGGGGGCCCGCACAAGCGGCGGAGCAUGCGGAUUAAUUCGAUGCAACGCGAAGAACCUUACCUGGGUUUGACAUAUGCCGGAAAGCUGCAGAGAUGUAGCCCCCGCAAGGUCGGUAUACAGGUGGUGCAUGGCUGUCGUCAGCUCGUGUCGUGAGAUGUUGGG